UAACUUAAAAAUUGAAUAUUAAAAAAUAAAAUUUUAAGAUUUUUAGAUAAAUAAUUGAAUUUUAAAUCAAGCUCAUUUCUAAUUUCAUUUCUAAUUACAAAAAGUAAUUUCCUAUAAGUGACAUGCCUAAUCAAUUAUCAGUAUUAGAUAAACUGGUUUUAAAAAUUCGAGUUUAUUCAUAUAGAGAAUCUAGAAGAGGGGAUUAACCGCUUUGAAUCCCCACCGAUUAAAAAUUCGUUAAAACACCUUUUUUUUUCUCUCCCUUCUUCAUUCUCUCUCUGUUAUUGCAUCCGUAUGGGGUGUACGAUCGAAAUCCUUUUUCCAGUAUAUUUAUUUUAAUGGCAGUCGUACACAUGCGGUGACUAUGGUACGAACAGAGUUGACAGGUGCCUGGACAAAAAAGCGUGGUCGAGAGCGAGCAUAGUAUGUAUAAUGUAAGCAUAGAGGGCUGGCAGGCCACAUGUGCCACUCUAUCACUUAUCUACCCGUAAUAUGACGUAUAACUCGACCAUAAGAUGCAACUGUGAACGCAUGUGUAUAUAUGUAUGCGUGAAUGCACAGUCAAGAUACGUGUAUAUAUAUAGGGAUGAGUAGGAGGAUGAACGGACACGUUUCUGUAUGUAUGUGCUUGGAAGAAAGCAUCCGAAGAUCGUGAUGUCACGAGAACUGCUUUGGAAUCAUAACAAUGCGUUUUGGACAAUAUUGAUGAAUUGCAAAUGAUGACAUUGGUGAUAGUAACAAUAAUGCUUAUGAAAUUAUACAUAAAUGAAACUUGGUAUAUUUAAUAAGUGAACUAUUAAAGUAAAAAUUACAAUUAAUUGAAUAAAUUAAUUUUUUGGUUGUUUACGUUAAUAUUUGUCAAUGAUUUAAGGAUAUGUAAAGAACUUCAUAUAAUCUUCAAGCCUCAUAUAUUCAGCAUCCUUAAAUCAAGAAUAUCACAUUUAUAUCAAGAAUUUAAAAAUAUCCUAGUAUAUUCAAAACAUGAAUUAUAUUCCCAAUCAAGCAUAUUUAUGUGAAAAUUCAUGAUGCAAUUGAGGAAGAGGGAAACAAAGAAAUCGGUAAAAUAAUAGUAGACUGUAAUAAAAAGAAGGAGUGAACGACUUAUCCUCAUAUGUGCGCGCAAAGCUGUUGUUAAUAAGUGACGCGUGUGCGGCAGCUGGUUUUACGUUUUUUGCCUUGCACCCGAUUCUCGGGGUUCGAGCGACGAAAGAUCGACCUAAGCACCCCCUUCUCUGCUAUUUUCCCUGUUUCUGUCUCUUGCCUGAGUUCUGUCUGUUGCCUGAGUACUCGAUUUGGAAUAUUUCUUAACAGAUUUUUAUAGAGACACGCGACAUGCAACAGAAUCAA
Molecule: long non-coding RNA, 1347 nt
Organism: Apis dorsata (giant honeybee)
Lineage: Eukaryota; Metazoa; Arthropoda; Insecta; Hymenoptera; Apidae
Exons: 3
Source: RefSeq, a predicted model, not a curated record